CCUGUUGGUGGGGUAACGGCCUACCAAAGCUAUGACGGGUAGCUGGUCUGAGAGGAUGAUCAGCCACAGUGGAACUGCGACACGGUCCACACUCCUACGGGAGGCAGCAGCCAAGAAUCUUGGGCAAUGGGCGCAAGCCUGACCCAGCGACGCCGCGUGGAGGAUGAAGGCCUUCGGGUUGUAAACUCCUGUCAGAGGGGACGAAUGCGUACGGGUGAACAAUCCGUGCGUAUGACGGUACCCUCAAAGGAAGCCCCGGCUAAUUACGUGCCAGCAGCCGCGGUAAGACGUAUGGGGCAAGCGUUGCUCGGAUUUACUGGGUGUAAAGGGCGCGUAGGUGGUGUUGAAAGUCAAAUGUGAAAGACCACGGCUCAACUGUGGAAACGCACUUGAAACUUCAAUACUUGAGUUCAGGCGAGGAGAAUAGAAUUCCCGGUGUAGGGGUGAAAUCUGUAGAUAUCGGGAAGAAUACCAGUGGCGAAGGCGAUUCUCUAGUCUGACACUGACAUUGAGGCGCGAAAGCGUGGGGAGCAAACAGGAUUAGAUACCCUGGUAGUCCACGCUGUAAACGAUGGACACUUGGUGUUAGAAGAGAUUAAUCUUCUGGUGCCGGAGCUAACGUGUUAA
This 627-nucleotide ribosomal RNA is filed under the name uncultured bacterium. RNAcentral describes it as "bacterial SSU rRNA". It matches the Rfam family "Bacterial small subunit ribosomal RNA", at positions 245 to 863 of the family's 1533-position model. The record is from RNAcentral.